GUCGUUUCGGUUCGAUCGGGAUACUCAUCAAAUUACACUUAUGAAACCGAGAAGACUUCUCUUGCCAAUGGCGGGCCACAUAAACUGACAUGUUAACUAAGCUGCAAAGCCGGUGGAUUACAAAAGCGGAGAGCUCUCAAAUGUUAAUACAUUCGGAGUUUCAUCACAUCAUCGAGCGACCCUUU
Molecule: small RNA, 185 nt
Filed under: uncultured Prevotella sp.
Lineage: Bacteria; Pseudomonadati; Bacteroidota; Bacteroidia; Bacteroidales; Prevotellaceae
Description: Bacteroidales-1 6S-Bacteroidales RNA suggested
Rfam family: Bacteroidales-1 6S-Bacteroidales RNA suggested
Source: RNAcentral